RNAcentral lists this long non-coding RNA (230 nucleotides) under Gossypium barbadense (sea-island cotton). RNAcentral's name for it is "long non-coding RNA (GBAR_LNC021815)". The record is from RNAcentral. Lineage: Eukaryota; Viridiplantae; Streptophyta; Magnoliopsida; Malvales; Malvaceae.
UCCGUUACAUCGGCAUCCUUCUUGCAUGCAAAUCCGUUCACCUUCACCCCUACACAUACAUACAUACAUACAUACAUACAUACAUACAUACAUACAUACAUACAUACAUACAUACAUGAUUUAUGUUAGCUAGAAAAAAGUGUAUUAUUUGUUUAGAUCAAAGCUGUUGACUUUUGUUUUAAUUACCUGAAGAUGUAUCGGCUACGCAGAUAUCUUGGAGGGGAUCAGGG